CGGUGCAUCUUUGGAAAAAAUUAACUAAUUAUGGAAGUGGAUGACAAUUUUCUUCUGGCCCCAUGGCUAUGGUGUGAGUGACACAAAUUAAAUAGGUGCUAUAGUAGAGUGGCAAAAAAAUAAAAUCGAAUGCCCCUCCGUCUUCCUCCCCUUUUGUUCUCCCACAACGAACUCGGGGCUCGCACCCAGAAGGGAGAGAACUCGUCGCGACGAGGAGAGAAGAACCUGAGGUGGUCCCGAAUCAGACGCGGAAGAGGGUGGGUUCAGGAGCAAGCCAGCCUGCCGCCACCAUGAGGCGCGCCUCGAAGAAAUCCUUGUCGUCUGCCGCGACCGCUAGCGCUGGUGCGGAACAAGUAAAUGAAAAACAAAACAGAAAAAGAAAAGGAGUCAGUACAAACCUGACCAGCAGGAAAGCACAACGUGGCCCUACUAAAGCAGUUUCCAAGGAAGUAGAACGGAUUGAUCAAUUUUUCUAUACUUAUGCCGAUAACUCAUCUGUCAUGAUUGACCCAGAAGGCAUUGAAACACUCUGUUCUCACCUUGAAGUUCCCCACACCGACGUUAGGAUUCUAAUGUUAGCAUGGAAAAUGGGCUGUGAGAAGCAAGGUUAUUUUACCUUGGAUGAAUGGAGAGCUGGUUUGAAAGCUCUUCGAGCAGACAGCAUCAGUAAACUGAAGAAAGCAUUUCCUGAACUGGUUCAAGAGGUUACAAGGCCGUCAAAUUUCCAGGAUUUCUACAUAUAUGCAUUUCGUUAUUGCCUCACAGAGGAUAAGAAGAAGUGUAUAGAAAUACCAGUUGCUUGUGAGUUGCUGAAUCUAGUAUUAGGCUUGCAGUUCCGCCCUCAGGUUGACAAGCUUAGUAAUUACCUCAAGUACCAAAAUGACUACAAGGUGAUAAACAUGGAUCAGUGGAUGGGAUUUAUGCGGUUCUGUAAUGAGAUAAACUUCCCAUCACUUGACAAUUAUGAUUCAGACCUUGCUUGGCCUUUGAUUCUAGACAAUUUUGUUGAGUGGCUAAGAGAAAAUAAAAGCUAGAUCUUCUAUUCAUGUGGUGGUGAAGUUGUCAUUCAAAAUGUAAUAUUCAAGAAUUUUCUGCACCCUGGAGGAUGCCGAUUCGGCUUGUUUCCGGUUGCUUCGGUGGAGGCUGCUCCCAGAAAAUUUAAAGCCUUCUCAUGUCAUCUUUUGAUUUUGCAUAUUUUUAAAACUGGAAACGGUCUGCAUCUGUCUGUAAAAUUUGUAUCAGGAUGCUAUAUUUAAUGGCCAUGUCAUGUUAAUCAGUCUUGGUAGAGUUUUAAGAUCUUGCAAGUUGCAAAUAUUUCCAUAGAUUAUAAAUAAAAAGAAAUUAACUGGCGAGUUCA
This is an RNA transcript of Zea mays, 1357 nucleotides long. It is a transcript of the gene named DCN1-like protein 4, with no coding region annotated. The record is from RefSeq and is marked provisional. The transcript has 11 exons. NCBI's taxonomy places the organism in Eukaryota, Viridiplantae, Streptophyta, Magnoliopsida, Poales, Poaceae.